UACGGGGGGAGCAAGCGUUGUUCGGAUUUACUGGGCGUAAAGGGCGCGUAGGCGGCCACCGCAGGUCGAUUGUGAAAUCUCCGGGCUUAACCCGGAAAGGUCAACCGAUACUGCGGGGCUAGAGUGCAGAAGGGGCAACUGGAAUUCUCGGUGUAGCGGUGAAAUGCGUAGAUAUCGAGAGGAACACCUGCGGCGAAGGCGGGUUGCUGGGCUGACACUGACGCUGAAGCGCGAAAGCUAGGGGAGCGAACGGG
Molecule: ribosomal RNA, 254 nt
Filed under: uncultured bacterium
Lineage: Bacteria
Description: partial 16S ribosomal RNA
Rfam family: Bacterial small subunit ribosomal RNA
Source: RNAcentral